This 460-nucleotide ribosomal RNA is filed under the name uncultured bacterium. RNAcentral's name for it is "partial 16S ribosomal RNA". It matches the Rfam family "Bacterial small subunit ribosomal RNA", at positions 338 to 795 of the family's 1533-position model. The record is from RNAcentral.
CCUACGGGCGGCUGCAGUGAGGAAUAUUGGUCAAUGGGCGCGAGCCUGAACCAGCCAAGUCGCGUGAGGGAGGACGGCCCUACGGGUUGUAAACCUCUUUUGCCGGGGAGCAACGGGCGCCACGUGUGGCGCCACUGAGAGUACCCGGAGAAAAAGCAUCGGCUAACUCCGUGCCAGCAGCCGCGGGAAUACGGAGGAUGCGAGCGUUAUCCGGAUUUAUUGGGUUAAACGGGUGCGUAGGCGGAUCGUUAAGUCAGUGGUCAAAUUGAGGGGCUCAACCCCUUCCCGCCAUUGAAACUGGCGAUCUUGAGUGGAAGAGAAGUAUGCGGAAUGCGUGGUGUAGCGGUGAAAUGCAUAGAUAUCACGCAGAACCCCGAUUGCGAAGGCAGCAUGCCGGCUUCCGACUGACGCUGAAGCACGAAAGCGUGGGGAUCGAACAGGAUUAGAUACCCUAGUAGUC